This 28-nucleotide small RNA is filed under the name Bombyx mori (domestic silkworm). RNAcentral describes it as "ovarian small RNA-33364". Lineage: Eukaryota; Metazoa; Arthropoda; Insecta; Lepidoptera; Bombycidae. The record is from RNAcentral.
UGCAAGGGUGUACUCGAUUCUAUACGAU